AAGCGGUUCAAAUUGCGAUGCCGUUUGCAUGAAAACAAAAACGCAGUUUAUAUUGUUUACGCUGUAAUUUUAUUGAACAAAAUCUACUCCGGCUUGUGUUUUACUGUUAAUUUGUGCUGUAAAUAUGCCUCCGAAAAAAAUCACCAAUCAGCAGCAGUCAGUGAAGGUUCUCAUCGAUCGGAUCAACGUGCUGGGAGAGAAUUUCCGUUCCCGAUCGAAAGCCGUUACGGCGAUCAAACGACCAGCUGCUCCACCGGAUCCGCCGAGCCCGCCCAAAACGGUUCGCUUUGUCGAACCGACCAUUCCCGAACCUCCAAGGAUUGUGUCGGACGAUCCGGCGGACAAUCCGUACGCGCAGGAGAUUUUCAUGUUCAAAACCAACGUGCACGAUGUGACGACGCGGAUCGUGCUGGAGCGGGACGGCGAAGAGGGCAUGGACAAGAAGGUUCGCUCGUUCAAGCGGAAGCUUUACCGGAUGUUCGCCACGGAGCCGAAAAACCGGAUCCGGUACCCGUUGGAUCGGGUGCGCUUCGAGAGCCCUUACUACGAGUAUCGGUUCUUCUUGGCGCUGCACAAACCGCUGCACAGCGACGACGAGUAUCAGGAAUACAAGCGGCAGCUGGCUACUGCUGGGGUAAACGAGAGCUGGGUUCAAAUGAGGAAGAACAACCGGCUGCUGAUGUACGAGGACAGGAUUGUACAUAAGUUAAAAAGCAAAUUCAAGGAGUGGAGUUUGAAGUUGGACAAGUUGGACGUCUAUUUGAUGGAUAUGCAUGCAAGACAACCCGGAUCUUCAGCGACAAAGCUCAAUGAAGCACCAAGCGAAACAUCGAUAGCGUCCAGACUAACAGAUACGGAAUGUGAAGACAACUUAUUGGAACAGUUACUGAAGCACUCGAACGCCAAACAAAGAUUCACUAGUCAUCAAAUUCAAAAGUUGUUUCCACACAUCCAGAGAAGCUUGCAGCAGUCGAAUGACUUCCAGUGGCUGGAAUUCGAGGACGAUGAACUGAACAAGCGCUUCAGGCUCGGGAGCUACGCGACAAACAUCACCUCGCAAGAAACGGUUCAGGAAGAGGAGAUUGUUGAUGUUGCUCCGCUGGAAAGUGCCGCUUCCACCAGCAAUAGUAGUCGCCCGGGCAGUGCGGCGUCCGGAGAUUCAGAACUCGCUCAAAUGCGCUCGGAAAUGGCCAUGACGCAGCCACGCGAGCUGACACAACUGGAGAGCUCCCGGUUCGUAGAUACGCAAGCUCUGGUGAACGUCCUGGAGCAGCAGGAUCCGAAGGUUAUUGUUGAAAUGGUUCCGCAGCGAUUAGAUGCAGUUACGGUCGAGGAGCUUCCGGUAGUUACUGAAGAACUUCUGCCCGAACUCUCCCCGAUGAUCACUCCGGCUCAAGCCGAAGUCAUUGAGGUAUCGGAUUCCCCAGUGCGCGAGGAUGACGAGGUUCAAAUCAAGGAGGAAUUCCUCUACACUUUGGAUUACAUCCGCCAGUUCACCAACAUUGAGCAGUACAUGAGCCGCGAGCUCAAGCAAAAGUUUCCCAAAACCUACGAAAAGAAGUUGACCAAGCUGAACCAGUACGUAGAGCGAUACUACAAAAGUGCUGAACAUCUCUUUCUCAAAAACACGCUGCCUCCAGGUUUGAGGCUUUUGUCGCGAAAAGAAAGAAAAGAACGCCAAGCGAAAACUGAUCAGCAGCCGAACACCUCUGAAAUCUCUCCAGCAGUCGUGGAAGUUCCACCGCCUACCACCGUUCCUACGGAGAUAAGUCCCAUAACGGACACCCCUCUAGUCCCAAGAAUUCCCCGUAAAGCCAGGCUAAUCGUCUACGAGGAAGAUGAUGACGAUGUUCGGCCGCCAACCGCACCCAAUGUAGCGCUCCUUCCAGAAACACUGCCAAUGCCCAAUUCGGAAGAUUUUCUGCCUCCAGUGUGCUCCACCCAGAUACCGGGGGAGUGUCUUGCUUCACCACCUCGUCGGAGGGACACGCCGUUCAGCUCUCCGUCUGCUUCAAGGGUACUUCCUGGACCAUCACAGACCGACAAUCCAAUAUGUUUGCCACCAACAACCACAGCACGCCUUCAAAUGCCGAGUUUGCAAAACUUCAGUCCUUCAAUAUCCUCUACACAACAUCCAACUGAACCAGGUGAUGCGCUACCACCAAACCGACAAGACACUCCCACAAAUUCUGCUCUUCGGCCGCCUAGUUCUUCAUCUCGCGUUCCAACGCCCGCUUUCGACUCGAGCAGCUUGAAUGCAACGGUAAUCGUCAAUCCAAAAUCCCCUCAGAAACAACCCGUUUCGAUCAAACGUGAACUCAACAGCAGUUCCUACGAGGGUGAGGUCGAAUUUGUCGAUAUCCCGCGCAACAGUACCAUCCUGAUCGAGGACUCCAUCAAUGAGAGUGAGAGGUUUCCGGGGGCGCUUCUCGAGCGACAACCCAGCUGCAUGGCGGCCAUUCCGGACAAUCUGCGGGGUAUGGUGAGCACACUGUUCCGGGAGAAUCAGGAUACGACCCUGUCGCAGGGAAGUGGCGCCAGUAAUGGAAGUGGUGAUGCGCCAGUUGAUAGCCAAGUGACCCGAACGUCGUCGAUGGGGUUUCAUCAAACGUUGGGUAAUUUGGAUACUAUGUGUUAUAAACAAUAAAUUUGACUAUUUCUUUUCGAUUUUUCUCUUGCAGCCUCCACGCAGAUCAAUUGAAAAUAACACCAAGUUCCAAGCGUAACAAAUCUGAAUCUCAUUUUGAUAAUCCCUGGAAACCACCAGUCCCGCCUAUCUCUUCGCAACCAUUCCGAUUGGUAUCCAAUCCCUUCCAUCAACCUUCUAUUCCUCCCGCAGCAUGCACCACCCUUCGCUUCCUCACCCGAACGGAGCUGGUCUCAGUUAAGUUCUUUCGUCAUCCUUCCGCUUACCAUCAGCGUCAUCACCUGACCGUGACGCUGAACCAUCGUCUGGACGGUAUCGCCCGGCUCACCAUCACCGAUCACGAAGUGCGCAAGCUUCUGAACCUCAGCCGGGGAGAUCGCGGUUGGCAGGCCCUCGUGUCCACCCUGAAUCGCGUCAACCGUUUCGAGUACGACCGCUUCCGGCCGGCAAGCCCGUACCAAUUCCAACAGAUGAGUAUUAGUGAGAAAAUUUUGUACCUAUUUUUUGCCACGUUCCCGGAGUGUCCCUCACGGGGACCGGGCUGGAUGGCGCGGUUCGAUGAUUUGAGGAACUACUGCGACGGAGACGGAGUUCGUUUGGAGGAGUUCAACUGUUACGGGCACAGCUAUGGCGGCGAAGGGAGCCAUCGUGCGGAACCAGGUAAGAUUGAUUUGAGUGAAGGAAUGGAUUCCGAUAUUGUACAAAGAAUGCGGGAGAUGAAAUCGAAAGCCAUGGGCAAUGUUUGCACGAAAUUUAAUAUAAAUCGUUGACGAUGAGAA
Molecule: RNA transcript, 3426 nt
Organism: Aedes albopictus (Asian tiger mosquito)
Lineage: Eukaryota; Metazoa; Arthropoda; Insecta; Diptera; Culicidae
Exons: 4
Source: RefSeq, a predicted model, not a curated record